Molecule: ribosomal RNA, 253 nt
Filed under: uncultured bacterium
Lineage: Bacteria
Description: partial 16S ribosomal RNA
Rfam family: Bacterial small subunit ribosomal RNA
Source: RNAcentral
UACGUAGGGGGCUAGCGUUGUCCGGAAUCAUUGGGCGUAAAGCGCGUGUAGGCGGUCCGGUAAGUCCGCUGUGAAAGUCGAGGGCUCAACCCUCGAAUGCCGGUGGAUACUGUCGGGCUUGAGUACGGGAGAGGCGAGUGGAAUUCCUGGUGUAGCGGUGAAAUGCGCAGAUAUCAGGAGGAAUACCGAUGGCGAAGGCAGGUCUCUGGGCUGACACUGACGCUCAUGCACGAAAGCGUGGGGAGCAAACAGG